Molecule: transfer RNA, 73 nt
Filed under: Monodelphis domestica (gray short-tailed opossum)
Lineage: Eukaryota; Metazoa; Chordata; Mammalia; Didelphimorphia; Didelphidae
Rfam family: tRNA
About the family: Transfer RNA (tRNA) molecules are approximately 80 nucleotides in length. Their secondary structure includes four short double-helical elements and three loops (D, anti-codon, and T loops). Further hydrogen bonds mediate the characteristic L-shaped molecular structure. tRNAs have two regions of fundamental functional importance: the anti-codon, which is responsible for specific mRNA codon recognition, and the 3' end, to which the tRNAs corresponding amino acid is attached (by aminoacyl-tRNA synthetases). tRNAs cope with the degeneracy of the genetic code in two manners: having more than one tRNA (with a specific anti-codon) for a particular amino acid; and 'wobble' base-pairing, i.e. permitting non-standard base-pairing at the 3rd anti-codon position.
Source: Rfam by way of RNAcentral
AGCUGGAUAGCACAGUGGAUAGAGCACUGGGCUUAGAAUCAGGAAGAUUCUAGUUCAAAUCUGGCUUCAGAUA